Molecule: ribosomal RNA, 433 nt
Filed under: uncultured bacterium
Lineage: Bacteria
Description: partial 16S ribosomal RNA
Rfam family: Bacterial small subunit ribosomal RNA
Source: RNAcentral
AACGAACGCUGGCGGCAUGCCUAACACAUGCAAGUCGAACGAGACCUUCGGGUCUAGUGGCGCACGGGUGCGUAACGCGUGGGAACCUGCCCUUAGGUUCGGAAUAACUCCCCGAAAGGGGUGCUAAUACCGGAUAAUGUCUUCGGACCAAAGAUUUAUCGCCUUUGGAUGGGCCCGCGUUGGAUUAGCUAGUUGGUAGGGUAAAAGCCUACCAAGGCGACGAUCCAUAGCUGGUCUGAGAGGAUGAUCAGCCACACUGGGACUGAGACACGGCCCAGACUCCUACGGGAGGCAGCAGUGGGUGAUAUUGGACCAUGGGCGAAAGCCUGAUCCAGCAAUGCCGCGUGAGUGAUGAAGGCCUUAGGGUUGUAAAGCUCUUUUACCCGGGAUGAUAAUGACAGUACCGGGAGAAUAAGCUCCGGCUAACUCCGUG